UCUCGCCUUCUCUGCUAUCCCACUUCUUUCCAUUAGCUUCGCGUCGUGUUUCCUCAGGGCGCUCCGCCGCCGGGAGGUGAGGGACGAAGGCGUGGAAAUCGUUGGCGACGUGAUUGCCGCUGAGUUCGGUGAAGUCAAGAUCAAACUCGGCGAUGGUGAAAGAGAUCGAGUCGUGCGGGCGAAUCGAACUAAGGGGCGACGGACGAAGUUGAGGGGGCGGACGAUUUUUCCGGCAAAAAGGGAGAAAUGGGUAGGGGCUUGAGGCGAUGGACUGGCGGAGACGUUUGAGGCGGUGCAACACGAAGUGUUCUGUGUCCUCUGUCUAUUAUCCGUUGCUCUGCUCGGCAAUAUUGUGAAGAAGCUAAAGAAUCCAAAUACAGGGGUCACUCGAGAGUCUAAUCUAGACCUCGGUUGGACCAAUGACACCUCUCAACCAAGAUCAGUAUCCUAAAGUUAGGAAUCUCAAUUCAGGAACUGGAGUAUUUUCUAGGUGCUCUUGCAGGGUAAAGGGACGAAGCUGCUCAUCAACACAUGAAGCAUAGGAUGUAAAACAAUAGGACUUAUUUCUUUCUUUCCUUUUCUUUAUAUCAAGGAAGACACUUCGAAUUGUAUUUCUAUCAAUCUAUCGCGAUACAUGACAAGAUUGUAUUUCAUCAUA
Salvia miltiorrhiza (redroot sage) is the source of this 658-nucleotide long non-coding RNA. RefSeq lists it as uncharacterized. Lineage: Eukaryota; Viridiplantae; Streptophyta; Magnoliopsida; Lamiales; Lamiaceae. The record is from RefSeq and is a predicted model, not a curated record. The transcript is spliced from 3 exons.